UACGUAGGGUGCGAGCGUUAAUCGGAAUUACUGGGCGUAAAGCGUGCGCAGGCGGUGAUGUAAGACAGAUGUGAAAGCCCCGGGCUCAACCUGGGAAUUGCAUUUGAGACUGCGUAGCUAGGGUGCGGAAGAGGGAAGCGGAAUUUCCGGUGUAGCGGUGAAAUGCGUAGAUAUCGGAAGGAACACCAGUGGCGAAAGCGGCUUCCUGGUCCAGCACCGACGUCAGGCACGAAAGCGUGGGGAGCAAACAGG
RNAcentral lists this ribosomal RNA (252 nucleotides) under uncultured bacterium. RNAcentral describes it as "partial 16S ribosomal RNA". It matches the Rfam family "Bacterial small subunit ribosomal RNA", at positions 524 to 776 of the family's 1533-position model. The record is from RNAcentral.